Molecule: ribosomal RNA, 734 nt
Filed under: uncultured organism
Description: bacterial SSU rRNA
Rfam family: Bacterial small subunit ribosomal RNA
Source: RNAcentral
GUAACGCGUAUGCAACUACCUCUGACUGGAGAAUAGCCCGAAGAAAUUCGGAUUAAUGCUCCAUAAGACCACGAUACCGCAUGAUAAAGUGGUAAAAGUUCCGACGGUUAGAGAUGGGCAUGCGUGCCAUUAGUUUGUUGGUGAGGUAAUGGCUCACCAAUGCAACGAUGGCUAGGGGGUCUGAGAGGAUGAUCCCCCACACUGGUACUGAGACACGGACCAGUCUCCUACGGGAGGCAGCAGUGAGGAAUAUUGGUCAAUGGACGCAAGUCUGAACCAGCCAUGCCGCGUGCAGGAUGAAUGCCCUAUGGGUUGUAAACUGCUUUUCUACAAGAAGAAACCCCUUGACACGUCAAGGGCUGACGGUAUUGUAGGAAUAAGCAUCGGCUAACUCCGUGCCAGCAGCCGCGGUAAUACGGAGGAUGCAAGCGUUAUCCGGAUUCAUUGGGUUUAAAGGGUGCGUAGGCGGGGUAGUAAGUCAGUGGUGAAAGCCUGCGGCUUAACCGUAGAAUUGCCAUUGAUACUGCUAUUCUUGAGUGCAGUUGAGGUAGGCGGAAUGUGUAAUGUAGCGGUGAAAUGCUUAGAUAUUACACAGAACACCGAUUGCGUAGGCAGCUUACUAAACUGUUACUGACGCUGAGGCACGAAAGCGUGGGGAGCGAACAGGAUUAGAUACCCUGGUAGUCCACGCUGUAAACGAUGAUCACUCGCUGUUGGCGAUACACUGUCAGCGG